Molecule: ribosomal RNA, 634 nt
Filed under: Mortierella sp. S-15
Lineage: Eukaryota; Fungi; Mortierellomycota; Mortierellomycetes; Mortierellales; Mortierellaceae
Description: eukaryotic LSU rRNA
Rfam family: 5.8S ribosomal RNA (bases 192-345)
Source: RNAcentral
AAGUCGUAACAAGGUUUCCGUAGGUGAACCUGCGGAAGGAUCAUUCAUAAUAAGUGUUUUAUGGCACUUUUUAAAUCCAUAUCCACCUUGUGUGCAAUGUCAGUCGUUCUCUCUUUCGAGAGCGACCAAACAUCAACUUAUUCUUUAACUCUUUGUCUGAAAAAUAUUAUGAAUAAAAUAAUUCAAAAUACAACUUUCAACAACGGAUCUCUUGGCUCUCGCAUCGAUGAAGAACGCAGCGAAAUGCGAUACGUAAUGUGAAUUGCAGAAUUCAGUGAAUCAUCGAAUCUUUGAACGCAUAUUGCGCUCUUUGGUAUUCCGAAGAGCAUGCUUGUUUGAGUAUCAGUAAACACCUCAAAGACUUCAAUUUGUUUUGAAUGGCUUUGGACUUGAGCAAUCCCAACACCAGUCUUUACGAUCGGUGGAGGGUUGCUUGAAAUGCAGGUGCAGCUGGACAUUCUCCUGAGCUAAAAGCAUAUUUAUUUAGUCCCGUCAAACGGAUUAUUACUUUUGCUGCAGCUAACAUAAAGGGAGGUUGACCGUAUUGGCUGACUGAUGCAGGAUUUCACAAGGGUCGGCAACGAUUCUUGUAAAACUCGAUCUCAAAUCAAGUAAGACUACCCGCUGAACUUAA